RNAcentral lists this ribosomal RNA (254 nucleotides) under uncultured bacterium. RNAcentral describes it as "partial 16S ribosomal RNA". It matches the Rfam family "Bacterial small subunit ribosomal RNA", at positions 524 to 776 of the family's 1533-position model. The record is from RNAcentral.
UACGUAGGGAGCGAGCGUUGUCCGGAUUCAUUGGGCGUAAAGAGCUCGUAGGCGGCUUGAUAAGUCGGAUGUGAAACCUCCAGGCUCAACCUGGAGUCGCCAUCCGAUACUGUCAUGGCUAGAGUCCGGUAGGGGCCCACGGAAUUCCUGGUGUAGCGGUGAAAUGCGCAGAUAUCAGGAGGAACACCGGUGGCGAAGGCGGUGGGCUGGGCCGGCACUGACGCUGUGGCGCGAAAGCUAGGGGAGCGAACGGG